Pelobates cultripes (western spadefoot toad) is the source of this 99-nucleotide non-coding RNA. The record is from the annotation of a GenBank genome assembly. Lineage: Eukaryota; Metazoa; Chordata; Amphibia; Anura; Pelobatidae.
UCCAUGGUUGCUCGGUAGCUGUGGCUGAAUCAGUAUACGGCUAUUGCAAUAGCCUCAUACUGAUUCAGCCAGAGCUACCGAGCAACCGUGGAACGCAGA